GGGCGCCAGCAGGCCUAGCCUCGCCGGGAGCGUCCUCGGCGCUGAAGCCGCCUGCGCCAUCUUGACCGAGGGCAGCCUUCCGCUAUUUCCGCUCUUUCUCCGAAAGAGACCGCCAUCUUCGGGCACACGGGUUCAGUCCUUCAUCCACAUGCCAUGGGGCAGCUAAGCCCAUGUGCCACAACUGCUGAGGCUCUCUAGAGCCCGAGAGCCACAACUACUGAAGCCUGCGUGCCCAAGAGUCCAUGCUUUGCAACAGGAGAAGCCACUGCAAUGAGAAGCCUGUGCACCGCAACUAGAGAGUAGCCACUGCUCUCCACAGCUAGAGAAAGCCCUUGUGCAGCAGCAGAGACCCAGCACAGCCAAAAUAAAAGUUAAAUGAUUUAGCUAAAAUUUUAAAAAAUAAAGUGAAAUGUGUUUCUUUGAAUAAAGUGUUGAGUAGAUAGCAAGUUUGGGAGGGGUGUGCAGUUAAAUACAGAGGGACAUGCCAGGAAAGAGCUAGGUAUGAGCACCAAGCGUCUCAGGGAAGGGUGGCGUCCUAGAAGACACUCCUCUGUGGGGCACUCACUGCCAGGAGACCUCAGAUUAGGCCCCUUCCCUCCUCUUCUAGACGUUUCUGCUCCAGUCAGUAUUCUUGCCUGGAGAAUCCCAUGGACAGAGGAGCCUGGCAGGCUACAGUCCUGGGGUUACACAGUCAGACACGACUGAAGUGACUUAGCGUACAUGCACGUAUGCACUGGUAGCCACUAGCCACAUGUCCCUACUGAGCACCUAAAAUGUGGGUGGUGUGACAGGGAAACAACUUUUAUUUAAAUUUAUUUGAAUUUUUAAAUUGAGGCAGCACAGACAAGCAGGAUAAAUGCCAAAAAUCAAAAACCUGCAUGUAGGCAUAUCAUGUUCAAACUGCAGAAAAUCUUCAAAACAGAUUCUCGAAGAUAAAAAGAAAUCCUUUUAAAAGCCAGAGAGAGGAAAAAUUUUUAUCUAUAGAGGAACAAGGAUAAGAAUUACAUCAGUCUUCUUGUUAGAAACCAUGCAAGCAAGAAGAAAGGGAAGUGAAAUAUUUCAAGUAUUGAACCACCAGCCUAGAAUUCUGUAUCCAGCAAAAUUAUCCUUCAAAUGUGAAAGAGAAGACUUUCUCAAAGAAAAAUGGAGGGGAUUUGUCACCACUAGAUCUGAUAUGCAAGAAAUGUUUAAGAAAUUCCCGAGAAAGACAAAAUAAUAUAGGUCAGAAACUCAGACCUACUUUUAAAAGAAGAGCAUUAGAGAAGGAAUAAAUGAAGAGGUAAAAUCAAUUUUUAAUCUUUCAAAAUUGUAUUUGAUCUGACAGAUAACAGAUUUUUUAGUUAAAAUAAUAAUACAGGGUGCAAGCUUAUAGAUAAGUGAAAUGAGUGAUAGCCGUGUUUUAAGGGAUAGGAGGCAGGAACUACGGGGACUUCCCUCAUAGCUUAGUCGGUAAAGAAUCCCCCUGCAGUGCAAGAGACCAGAGUUCGAUUCCUGGGUCAGGAAGAUCCCCUGGAGAAGGAAAUGGCAACCCACUCCAGUAUUCCUGCCUGGAGAAUCCCAUUGACAGAGGAGGCUGGCGGACUACAGUCCAUGGAGUCACAAGAGUUGGACAUGACUUAGUGACUAAAUCACCACCAGGUAGGAACUGUGAAUACUGUUAUAAAAAGGUACCUGGACUGCCUAUAUAGUAGCUAUUUGAAAAAGAACUUGGAUUAGUUGUAAAUAUAUCCUGCAAACUCAAUGACAACCAUUUAAAAAAGCAAACAAAAUAUAAUUGUUAUGCUAAGAGAGGAGAAAAAAUAGAAUCAUAAAAUGUUUAAUUAAUACCAGAUUUGGCAAAAUACGACAAGGAUGACAAGACAAUAUGACAAGGCAAGAUAUGACAGAGGAUGAGAUGGUUGGAUGGCAUCACCAACUUGAUGGACAUGAGUUUGAGCAAGCUCUGGGAGUUGGUGAUAGACAAGAAAGCCUGGCAUGCUGCAGUCCAUGAGGUUACAAAAUCGGAUAUAACUGAGCAGCUGAACUGAAGGUAAAGUAAGAGUGGAAGACAAAAGUAACAUAAAGCAAGAGCAACAAGUAGAAAACAGCAACAAAUAUGGUAGAUACUAAUCCAGUUAUAUCAAUUAUCACUUUAAACACCAGUGAUCUAAAUAUAACAGUUAAAAAAAACUAUUGGACUGGAUAAAAAAUGAGACCCAACAAUGUUAUCUACAGGAAAUGCCAAAACACAGAUUAAAGGGACACAGAAAGAUAAACAGUAGUAAAAUACUUUCAUGACUUGAUGCUUGAAAUUCUUUGAUUAUUUUUUGAGCAUAAAAUACCCAUAUUUACUUUUUUAACUCAUUCACUACUGAUUGAGUUGGAGGCUAUGGUUUCAAGCACAUCUCUACAAACAGCAUGUUUUAGAAGUGGUAGGUUUUAUUUCUACUGAACAAACAAAAAUCCAGGUUGUAAUUAAUCACUGUAUUUUCUCCUUUUCACUUUUUUUUUUUUUUUUAAGAACUAGAGAGAUCAUAAUGGGCUACACUGGGACUUUGUUUGAAUGGAUGCCACUCACAUAUAUGGUGAAGGGUAUCGUGAUGUGACUAUGCAGAGUCAUUUUCAUUAAUGUUAUUUCAACAUUGGUGUCUUUUUUGCUUCUUCAGUGACCAGUUAUGAACAUAUUAAUAAUUAAAUAGUAUAUGACUAGAAGUAUAUUAAACAGUAUCAAAGCUCAAAACUUCAUUGCAGGAACAGUAUUUAGGUGAGUGACAGCCAGCUAAGUAAUAAUGAGACCGCACCACUUGCCCACCUUUGCACUUGUCCAACCUCCUCCUGCUACUGUAAGUGUGCCUACAGUAUCCACUCGAGGGUUCUCCACCGACUCCACAAUUCCAUUUCUAUGGAAGGUACACAAUAUAUAUUCCAAAAGGAGAAAGAAGCUCUUGUUGCCUCAAAAGAUGCUUUCUCUAACUGCCCUAAACUGGGACACUUCUCUGUGUAAAACACAGGCCCUUCUACUUUCUGUCUGUGGCCAUUUAACCCAGCUCUCCCUAAAGCUCAUGUCCUGCCAAGCAGACGCUGUCUCCACCUACCACCUCACAGUAGUUUCAAUCUAGGAUAGUGAUGACACACAAAAAAAGCUUGUGACUGCUUCUGGUUGCCCUAGAAAUCAGACCAAGGCAUCCUGAAGGAUCAACAGUAGGUAGCUGAAAAGUCUGCAAGAGGGCCAGAAACUUUAAUGGCUGGAAAACAGGACUUUGCAGAAUUGAGAAUGGGAGAUUAGAGCUGAGAGAAGAGGACACCAAGAGAAGAAGAGCGAAGAGCAGAGAUGUUGCUCGUAAAGCUGGCAAUUGAUAGGGCAAUGGCUGAGGCAGAAGACACCAAAGAUAAACAGCCUGGUGCCCUAGGAACAGCGGAAGUAACCAGGGAUGCGCAGAGGAGAAGGUACAAUGGGGGGCUGUGGAAGGAGCAGCUGGCAGUGCAGACCCAACCCUCACAGCCUCCUUUGGUGACUGACUCAGAAUGGUUGGCUCUGAGUGCAGAAGAACAGUAGGUAUUACCGUCCUUACUUUUUGAGUAAAAGCAGGAGAGUAUCAUUUGUGUGGGGAUGGGUGCAGCACAGGAAAGAAGACAUGGUCUGGAGUCACACAGACACAUCCCACAUCUGAAACAAACCAUGGGACCUUUAACAAGUCACUGAACCUCUCUUCACCUCAGUCCACUUGGCCAUGAAAUGGGGGAUAAUAAGGCUGUUUGCAGGACUAAGUAAAGGAAUCUAUUUGCGUUCUUAGUACAAUGCCUAGAGUAUGAUAAACUCUAAAAUAAUGUUGUUAUGGAAAUAAUAUAAGAAUUGCUUAAGAAAGAAAAGAUUGAAAGCAGAAAUGAGUCUUUGAGAAGUUAAAUAGCAAAUAGUGUUUUUUUUUUCUAGUUCUGUGUUAUAAAGUCCUUCUUUUUUGCUAAGAGAAGUCAGAGAAACAAUAUUUACAACGCAGAUUGCUAAGCAGAGAACCCUGUUUGCUAAGUGAGCAGGUUAAGAAACAAGGUUUUGAGGAUGCCUAAAUGUGACUGUGCUCUAUCAUCAGUGGUGAAUGUCUCUGCUUUAUUUUUCUGCAUUAAAAACAACCCUUUCUUGCUGUCAGAUUGUUUUAUUAUCUAUUUAAAAUGUAAAUCUUUCACAAGAUUAAUGAAAUGUUAUAGUUAGGUAGCUGUUAUUGGAAAUUAAUGAUAGCUUAUAGAUUAAAUUUAUUGUUCAUCACCUCAUGCAUAAGUGAACUUAAAAUGGACUUAACAACUUUGAAAACUGAACUUCUCAUCAAAGGCAAGUUCUCUGUUCUACUAACAAUAUACACAAACCAUGGUUUGGGGAAGUUGAAAUCGUAACUCAGCCUCUCUCCACUGGUAAAUGUGCUGUUGACAGCUUCAGCCUCAGACACAAUUUGGUUCUUUGUUUAUGCUUUUAC
This is an RNA transcript of Dama dama (fallow deer), 4442 nucleotides long. RefSeq lists it as uncharacterized. The transcript has 2 exons. Lineage: Eukaryota; Metazoa; Chordata; Mammalia; Artiodactyla; Cervidae. The record is from RefSeq and is a predicted model, not a curated record.